This 497-nucleotide ribosomal RNA is filed under the name uncultured bacterium. RNAcentral's name for it is "partial 16S ribosomal RNA". It matches the Rfam family "Bacterial small subunit ribosomal RNA", at positions 28 to 507 of the family's 1533-position model. The record is from RNAcentral.
GAUGAACGCUGGCGGCGUGCCUAAUACAUGCAAGUCGAGCGAACGGAUGAGAAGCUUGCUUCUCUGAUGUUAGCGGCGGACGGGUGAGUAACACGUGGAUAACCUACCUAUAAGACUGGGAUAACUUCGGGAAACCGGAGCUAAUACCGGAUAAUAUUUUGAACCGCAUGGUUCAAAAGUGAAAGACGGUCUUGCUGUCACUUAUAGAUGGAUCCGCGCCGCAUUAGCUAGUUGGUAAGGUAACGGCUUACCAAGGCAACGAUGCAUAGCCGACCUGAGAGGGUGAUCGGCCACACUGGAACUGAGACACGGUCCAGACUCCUACGGGAGGCAGCAGUAGGGAAUCUUCCGCAAUGGGCGAAAGCCUGACGGAGCAACGCCGCGUGAGUGAUGAAGGUCUUCGGAUCGUAAAACUCUGUUAUUAGGGAAGAACAUAUGUGUAAGUAACUGUGCACAUCUUGACGGUACCUAAUCAGAAAGCCACGGCUAACUACGUG